Long non-coding RNA from Diachasmimorpha longicaudata, 2120 nucleotides. RefSeq lists it as uncharacterized. The transcript is spliced from 3 exons. The record is from RefSeq and is a predicted model, not a curated record. NCBI's taxonomy places the organism in Eukaryota, Metazoa, Arthropoda, Insecta, Hymenoptera, Braconidae.
UGAAUUCUUACUAUUUGAAAAACCCUUACUAAGGGAAAAAAUAAGAGAACGUUUAUGACUCCAGAGGACAGAGUUUCCUUUGAAUACCACACGUGGUAAGGAUUGCAACGCUCUCAAGUUCGGAGUGCAACAGAUCAUAAAUUAGUCCUUCUCUGGAGACUCUUCCAAACACGUCAUAAACCUUGUCAAGUGAUUUUUGAAGAUGAACAGAAGAGCUGUGUUUUAAUUUUCCAACAGAUGUUACAUUAUUGGUAGACGAUAACGGUGACACAAAACGUUAGGUUCAUCCCUUCGGGUCUAUAAAUUUUGUUUCCAUCCCCUACGGUACCAUGGGAACGCCUUUUUCCUCAACUGUAGCACAUUUGCUCGGGGGCUGAGGGAAACCAUGGAAGACUUCAACUGUAAUGUCGGCCAAUUGUGCAGCAUCCUAGUGUACUAUUUUGGGUACUUUGGGUACUUUUACCCUCAUACCUUGCGUUCAGCAUUUUUUUAACAUUUUUUUUGAGGGUUCGGUGUUCCCAAGUGGUCAUCCAUCCAAGUACUAACCAUGUUUAUUUAGCCAAAGGGAACAAUAAUAAUGUUGAUCAGAGGAUGGAUAUCUACGCGACUUAUAAGCUAUGGUACAAACAUGAGGAAAACAUAGUUGAAGUGGAAAAUAAUGAGUCUUGGACAUUUGGUGUCAGUAAUUUUUCGGGACCAGAAAUUGGCCAGUAAAACUGAUCCAGAGGCCUUACUCACCCAGCCAUUACUGUCAGUCACCGACAUAUUAUAUUUUUCUCAUGAAAAAUUGGCGAAUUGCGGCGAGAAUCUCAUGAAGAAUUUCAAGUGUCUCGUAACUUCUCCCUGAAGCCAUUCAUAAUCAGGAUAAUCUCACAAUCAACUUGUUACGUUUUGUUCCUUACCUAAUGCCGUCAUCUUUGAUUUAAUAUUUCGAACAGUUUCACUUUCUAUGAAAUUAUCAUGGUAAUUAUAAUAAUUCAAUGAGGCAAUGGUGGGAGACAUUUUUUGUGGACAAUUUCGUCAGAUGUAAGAACGGUCUCAUGAAAUUUUCCCUUCAGCAUUUUUCGUCACAAAAAUUCUACACGUGAUCCUCGAGUGAGACAAUUAGAAUGUCUAGAAUGCAUGUCUCAAUGCCUUAAUCUAAGGCACUAAAAAUGAUUUAAAUUUGUCAACACAAAACUUCACUUUCUUUAUUAAGUCCGGGAAUAUUUGCAGGCUCAUUCGGCUGUUAAAUUAAUUGAUGGGGGAUGUUAGGUUAUUAUUACAUUCAAUACAAUCUUGUUGGAAACUAGAAUGAAUGAAUCAUUUCAGGAGAACGAAAGGGGAGUGCCUUCACAGGAGAGAUGAAGAUAUACGGAGAGAAAACUCCCAGAAAAAUUACUGUCGGACACUAGAAUCGAGGUGUAAAAUGCUAGAAUACUGCAAUGUGUUUUAUUUGCACAUAAAAAUUCUUAUCAAUACCAUAAAUUUUGUAGUACAUUUUGUAAUUAAGGAUAUAUGGUUUCGUAAAAUUUACGAAACAGCAUUACUAAAUUUAAAGGUCUAUCAUUUUUAUGUGAAUUUAAAUGAAAAAUAGAUAGAAAUUGUUGAAAAAUUCCUAUCUAGAUCAGUUUAUUUUACUGUACCGCACAGCAAUUUGUCGUUAACUCAUUGGGAUUGGGUAACGAUGAGCGCCGAAUACAUCCGAUUAUUGCCGAAGUUGAGCUCCGCCGUGGGACCUGAAUCAGCCAUUCAGCGUCCAUCUUCUCAUCGUCUUCACAUUCGACCUUGAAUUUUCACGAGGCCAAUAUAGAAAUUGUCCCCAGCCGGUAGAGAAAUUUUACUCUUCUGCAGUUUGCGCCGAGAUUACAAGACAGCGCAGUAACUUUUACCCGAAUCACUGUACAAAUUAAUAGAUUUUUCUCUCCGUAGAGAUCGCUUCGUCUCCUGAGUAAUUUGUAACUUGAUUAAUCCAGACUCCACAGAUUUAUCUGUUGCGUAGUUGGGACAGCGUCAAAGAAUGUGAUCGAGGUCCGCUCAGCUACAAAAUUCCAGGCUCUAGUUUUUACACUGGCCUUCAUUCAAUUAUUUUCCAAGCGUCAACAAGAAGAAAGAUCUGUUCCUAUCUGGCCUAAACUCAU